UGAGCCAUUCAAGACAGCUGCAACAGUUCUGUGUGGUGAGAAGUAUCCAACAGUCUCUCUUAUAUUCAACUACAAGACGCUGCUGAUUCUGCAUGUGACAGCGAAUGAUUUGGACAGUGAAACUAUCUCAAGAGUCAAGGCUGCCAUGCUCGGAGAUCUGCAAACACGGUACAAUGACGUAGAACCAUUUCUGGUAGAGUGCAGCCUUGUUGACCCAUAAUUUAGGGACAUCCAGUUCAUCACUGAUCAGAACAGAACUGAUGCUCUGGCAGCCAUCAAAAACAGAAUGUCUACCAUUGCUCUUCGGAUGGGAUUGACAAACAGCUGUCACACAUGAGGAAGCUAAGGCCACAGCUGAUGACAGUGACAAGCCCCCUCAGUUGAACAUCCUGAAUGAUGAGGAGCAAUCUGAUGACAACAACAACUACAAGGAGCAAGAGCCAACUAUUGUUGUUGAAGACACCCCAGAGGCAGAUAAUGACACAAAAACCAACAAGUGAUCUAGGACGUUUGUUUGAUGUGUUCAUUACUAAAGAAGAGUCUUCUGCUGCUGAUAAAGUUGAAUUAGAGCUGAACUGUUAUCUGAAAGAAUCAAGGGCGAAAAUGGAAGUGAAUCCAAUAGACUGGUGGGGGGCAAGGUCUGACAAAUAUCCUAUUCUGGCUAGAGUUGCCUGUUCACACUUGAUCAUCCAAGACACAUCUGUGGCUAGUAAAAGAGUAUUUUCUACUACAGGACACCUUGUAUCGGCCCAAAGGGCUUGUCUGUUGCCAGAAAUUGUAGAUAAACUUGUCUUCCUUAAGAAGAACCUUUAAGUUGAAAAGGUUAAAGCUAAACCAACUUUGAGUGCUUCAGAAGCACCCGGGGGAACAGAAUGACUUUGUAACAAUUCAAUUUAUUGAUGUGACCAGCUGAACACUUAGGUUUAAUGUGUGUUUACUUUCAGUAUUGUGUACAGUUUGAAUUUUGAUUCAAGAAUUCGUUAACAAUGUU
Dreissena polymorpha is the source of this 991-nucleotide long non-coding RNA. RefSeq lists it as uncharacterized. The record is from RefSeq and is a predicted model, not a curated record. NCBI's taxonomy places the organism in Eukaryota, Metazoa, Mollusca, Bivalvia, Myida, Dreissenidae. The transcript is spliced from 3 exons.